UACGUAGGUGGCAAGCGUUACUCGGAAUCACUAGGCGUAAAGCGCAGGUAGGCGGUUCGGUAAGUCUUUUGUGAAAGCUCCUGGCUCAACUGGGAGAGGUCAAAGGAAACUACCGGGCUAGAGUUUGGUAGGGGAUACUGGAAUUCCUGGUGUAGCGGUGAAAUGCGUAGAUAUCAGGAGGAAUACCUAUGGCGAAAGCAGGUAUCUGGGCCACAACUGACGCUGAGCUGCGAAAGCGUGGGGAGCAAACAGG
This 253-nucleotide ribosomal RNA is filed under the name uncultured bacterium. RNAcentral's name for it is "partial 16S ribosomal RNA". It matches the Rfam family "Bacterial small subunit ribosomal RNA", at positions 524 to 776 of the family's 1533-position model. The record is from RNAcentral.